UCCUGGUUUCCCAGGCAGUCCCAUCAGAGUGCUUUCUUACGAAAUAGCAACUGACAGCAGGGGUUGCGCUCGUUAUAGGACUUAACCCAACAUCUCACGACACGAGCUGACGACAGCCAUGCAGCACCUGUUUACAUGCUUAGGGUUUCCCCCAAGAAGCUAUAUCUCUAUAGCGAUCAUGUAUAUGUCAAACCUAGGUAAGGUUCCUCGCGUAGUGUCGAAUUAAACCACAUGUUCCACCGCUUGUGCGGACCCCCGUCAAUUCCUUUGAGUUUUAAUCUUGCGACCGUAGUCCCCAGGCGAAUCACUUAACGCGUUAGCUACGACACUAAUCCUGCAAAGCAAGACUAACGUCUAGUGAUCAUCGUUUACAGCGUGGACUAC
This 384-nucleotide unclassified non-coding RNA is filed under the name uncultured bacterium. Its description in RNAcentral is "contains 16S-23S intergenic spacer region". The record is from RNAcentral.